This 72-nucleotide transfer RNA is filed under the name Camelus bactrianus (Bactrian camel). It matches the Rfam family "tRNA". From Rfam's summary of the family: Transfer RNA (tRNA) molecules are approximately 80 nucleotides in length. Their secondary structure includes four short double-helical elements and three loops (D, anti-codon, and T loops). Lineage: Eukaryota; Metazoa; Chordata; Mammalia; Artiodactyla; Camelidae. The record is from Rfam by way of RNAcentral. RNAcentral also lists the same sequence under 1 other name.
GAGGGUUUAGCUCAGGGUUAGAGUGCAUGUUUAGCAUGCAUGAGGUCCAGGGUUUAAUCCCCAGUACCUCCU